This 480-nucleotide ribosomal RNA is filed under the name uncultured bacterium. RNAcentral describes it as "partial 16S ribosomal RNA". It matches the Rfam family "Bacterial small subunit ribosomal RNA", at positions 28 to 523 of the family's 1533-position model. The record is from RNAcentral.
AAUGAACGUUGGCGGCGUGGAUUAGGCACGCAAGUCGAGCGCGAACCCCGCAAGGGGUGAAAGCGGCGAAAGGGAGAGUAACGCGUGGGUAUCUGCCCUCGGGACUGGGAUAGCUGCGGGAAACUGCAGGUAAUACCAGGUGACGUCCCCGGACCAAAGGUGUGAUUCCGCCUGAGGAUGAGCCCGCGUCCUAUUAGCUAGUUGGUGGGGUAAUGGCCUACCAAGGCAAUGAUGGGUACUGGGUGUGAGAGCACGACCCAGCUCACUGGGACUGAGACACUGCCCAGACACCUGCGGGGGGCUGCAGUCGAGAAUCUUCGGCAAUGGGCGAAAGCCUGACCGAGCGACGCCGCGUGUGGGAUGAAGGCCUUCGGGUUGUAAACCGCUGUCAGGUGGGAGGAAUGGGCGGAGGGUAAUCUCUUCGUUUUGACCUAUCCUCAGAGGAAGUACGGGCUAAGUUCGUGCCAGCCGCCGCCGUAA